Molecule: ribosomal RNA, 464 nt
Filed under: uncultured bacterium
Lineage: Bacteria
Description: partial 16S ribosomal RNA
Rfam family: Bacterial small subunit ribosomal RNA
Source: RNAcentral
UCUACGGGAGGCAGCAGUGGGGAAUUUUGGACAAUGGGCGCAAGCCUGCUCCAGCUAUUCCGCGUGUGGGAUGACGGCCCUCGGGUUGUACACCACUUUAGUAGAGAACGAAAAGUAGCUCUCGAAUAAAUCGCUCUGCUGACGGUACUCUAAGAAUCAGCACCGGCUAACUACGUGCCAGCAGCCGCGGUAAUACGUAGGGUGCGAGCGUUAAUCGGAAUUACUGGGUGUAAAGGGAGCGUAGGCGGGGAUGCAAGUUGGGUGUUAAAUCUACCGGCUCAACUGGUAGUCGAACUCAAAACUGCAGCUCUUGAGUGAAGUAGAGGCAGGCGGAAUGCCUAGUGGAGCGGUGAAAUGCGUAGAUAUUAGGAGGAACACCAGUGGCGAAGGCGGCCUGCUGGGCUUUGACUGACGCUGAGGCUCGAAAGUGUGGGGAGCAAACAGGAUUAGAUACCCCAGUAGUC